Molecule: ribosomal RNA, 491 nt
Filed under: uncultured bacterium
Lineage: Bacteria
Description: bacterial SSU rRNA
Rfam family: Bacterial small subunit ribosomal RNA
Source: RNAcentral
GAUGAACGCUAGCUACAGGCUUAACACAUGCAAGUCGAGGGGAAACGACAUUGAAAGCUUGCUUUUGGUGGGCGUCGACCGGCGCACGGGUGAGUAACGCGUAUCCAACCUGCCCACCACUUGGGGAUAACCUUGCGAAAGUAAGACUAAUACCCAAUGAUAUCCCACGAAGGCAUCCGAAUGGGAUUAAAGAUUUAUCGGUGAUGGAUGGGGAUGCGUCUGAUUAGCUUGUUGGCGGGGUAACGGCCCACCAAGGCAACGAUCAGUAGGGGUUCUGAGAGGAAGGUCCCCCACAUUGGAACUGAGACACGGUCCAAACUCCUACGGGAGGCAGCAGUGAGGAAUAUUGGUCAAUGGGCGAGAGCCUGAACCAGCCAAGUAGCGUGCAGGACGACGGCCCUAUGGGUUGUAAACUGCUUUAUAAGGGAAUAAAGUGGGUCACGUGUGACUUUUUGCAUGUACCUUAUGAAUAAGGACCGGCUAAUUCCGUG